Molecule: long non-coding RNA, 1308 nt
Filed under: Lathyrus oleraceus (garden pea)
Lineage: Eukaryota; Viridiplantae; Streptophyta; Magnoliopsida; Fabales; Fabaceae
Description: Pisum sativum (pea) long non-coding RNA (PSAT_LNC018704)
Source: RNAcentral
UCAUAACUCCCUCCUCACUUAAUCUUCAAUCCACUUUCCAUUAUCCUCCCUCUAGCGAACUUCCGUUUACGCAGCAGUCACACAUCCAACCACAACAACCUCACUGCCAUACCUUUUACAUGCCACAUCCAUCUCGGGUGAGUUCACACAACAUUGUACACCAUAAAAAAUCCUUUCACCACCAUCAACCUACACAAUCUCUGCCACUCCAUAAAAAUUGGUCGAGCUUCACACGACCAAAACAACCACCCAUUUUCAGGACAACCUCCUUCUUCAUAUUACGAAAAUCAUUCUCAGCAAACACCAAAACUAUCUCACCCGAUCUCCACUUCAAUCGCCAUAAAAAACUCACGCCACCAUUGGAACCAUCCAUAACCUUCAUGUGAAACUUGUUGAACCUUUAACAAACAUGUUUCCGUUUUCUCACUAUAAGAACCACACCAACAACCACUACUCGAAACACACUCACAACCAAGUCCAAUUUACCACCUUCAACAACCUUGUUCACUCACAAAACAGUCCCUCAACACCUUUGAAACUCCAACCACAACUAGAAUUCAUCAGUUAAAUGAUUAAAUGGCUUGAUUCUCCAUUUAUCAUCAGGAUUUAUGGUUUUUUAAAGAUCGUGAUCGAAGGAGGAGAAACAAUGAGAAACGAAAAUUGUUGUUAUGAUUCUUCCUAAAAGAUUUGAGAGCAACGAUUUUGACCGCUGCAACAACACCAUUUUGAUCUGCAACAUGACCAGUCGCCAGACGCCACCGCACCAUCGUUGCUCGCUUCAGUUUGCACCACUGUGCAUUCAAUUCGUCCUGUCAUUGGUCCGACCGGUAUUGUUUUCUUUUCAUGAAUGUUGUUUCAUUGAUCAAGGUAUAUUUGUGCUUUAAUUUUAGUUUGAAUUGGUUCGAAGAGAAAAGUAUAUGGUUGUUGUUUGUUUGAUUUGAAGAAUCACAGUUUUCAUUAUAUCUUUAAAAAACGAGGAAGAAGAGGAAUAGGAUUUAUUUUAAUUAUUUCUUGUUUUUGUUGUUUAUCGAAAGCCACUUGUCCACCGUUUAUUGGAGUCAUCUUAAAUUUGAAAACAUCAUAGCAUUGAGAAGGAUAAUUGAGAAGGAUAAGGAGGUUGCACCUUCUCUCCACAUUAGUUUUUUACUUUUUUGACUAAUGAGAGUUUAUUUUUAUUUUAUUAUUUUAUUAUUUUAUUAUUUUAUUAUUCUUCUUUUAUUAAUUAUUAUUGUUAGUUUAAAUUAGGUUUUUCUUUAUAUUGGGUUUGGGCUUCUUUCUUUAUUUUGCUACGCAUCCCCUUAACUCAAU